Molecule: RNA transcript, 2047 nt
Organism: Macaca mulatta (Rhesus monkey)
Lineage: Eukaryota; Metazoa; Chordata; Mammalia; Primates; Cercopithecidae
Gene name: non-histone chromosomal protein HMG-14-like
Source: RefSeq, a predicted model, not a curated record
CACUGCAUCUGGCCACCUUUUGUUUGUUUGUUUUUACACCUUUUCACCGUCCAUCACGUUACCUGUUUUAGUUCUACUAUAUUUUUCUAACAUGUUACGGUACAGUAGCAUCUUUGCACUGUAUGUUCUUAAAGAGCCCUUCAUGACUCAUUCUUUGCCUUGCCACUUGUCAUACUAGAAAUAGAAUUUAAAUUAUUAUUUCCCGAAAGUGUGACCAUCCAUUUACUUACAGCAAAACCUAGUCACUUUUCUUACUGUUAACAUAGCUUCACACAAUUUCCCACAGAACUUUUCCCAUCAGUUUGACUUUUCAUUACCUAAAAGAACUUAAUAUUAGUCUCACUAUUGAUAGCCUAUUAUUUUUAUACUUUCCUCCAGAUAAUGUAUGCAAGCAACUUAAAGUACAAUCUGGACUAAUGAGGACUAUUUUAAUCAUUAGUGUUUAAAUGAUUAUACUUAUUAACUAACGAUAAGUUAAACUCAAAUUGGCGUAGCAGAGGAACUGAUCGGCUCAUGUUACUAAAAAGUCUGAUUUAAGGCAAGACUGGAUCCGCGCGCUCAAACAAUGCUUUCAGGAAUCUGUGUCUCCAGCUCUCAGCCCUGCUCCCCCCUGACUCUACCCGGCUGGGAUCAAGGUACGUUCUGGCAGUUUCAGGCCCACGUCCUGCCAGUUUAGCAAUACCAGGGGAAAGAGGGCCUCUUUCAAAACAGUGCAGCAAAAGUCCCGGGACGGAAUCCCCUUGGCGUGACCUGGGGUCAAACGCCUCUUCUGCAAUUAGUCGCUGUGGCUGGCCGAUGAGAUGUGCGGAUUUUUCUGGACUGACUCAUAUGCCGAUUCCUGAAGCUCCACCCAAAGGACAUGGGCUCAGGUUUAUGGAGGAGCAGGCCCUCAAGAAAAGCAGGUGCCUUCAUCAGAAGAGGGGUAGAGGUUGCGCAGAGAAAAAUUAUGUUCAUCUUCUUUCCAAGGUCAGCUCCGCCGAAGGGGCCGCCAAGGAAGAGCCUGAGAGGAGAUGGGUGCUGUUGUCAGCUAAACCUCCCGCAAAAGUGGAAGCGAAGCCGAAAAAGGCAGCAGCGAAGGAUAAAUCUUCAGACAAGUGCAAACAAAAGGGAAAAGGGGAGCAAAGGGAAACAGGCCGAAGUGGCUAACCAAGAAACUGAAGAAGAUUUACCUGCAGAAAACGGGGAAAUGAAAACCGAGGAGAGUCCAGCCUCUGACGAAGCAGGAGAGAAAGAAGCCACGUCUGAUUAAUACCGUAUACCACGUCUUACCAGUGGUCCCCGUGUCCCUUCUUGUACAAUCCAGAGGAAUAUUUUUAUCAACUAUUUUGUAAAUGCAAGUGUUCUAGUAGCUCUAGAAACAUUUUUACGAAGGAGGGAAUCCCACCUCAUCCCAUUUUUUAGGUGUAAAUGCUUUUUUUUUAAGAGGUGAAAUCAUUUGCUGGUUAUUUUUUGGUACAACCAGAAACUAGUGUGGGAUGUUGAAUUAUGGGAGGCUUUGACUGUCUCUGGUGUCAGCUUAACAUUCCAUAGAUGGGGGGUUAGUUUUUAUAUCCUAGAAUACAAAGCAUAUUAAAUGGCAAUAUGGAGUCAGUCCUGCAUUUAAUGUCUUGAACAUUUUAUUUUACUUCUAUUCUCAUGUGUUUUAGUAGAAUUGUUUCCUAAAGCAAACCACCCCUCGAUCAUGGCGCUCGCUCCCUGUCGGAAUCGUGUGCACUCUGUAACAUCUUUGGUUGUUAGUCCCGUUUUCCUAAUAACUUCGUUCCUGUGCUGUGAAAGAUUACAGAUUUGAAUAUGUAGUGUACAUGCUAUUCAGUUGUGAACUGGUGGGCCACAUGUAACAGCUGACCAACAUGUGAAGAUACUGGUACUUGAUAGCCUCUUAAGGAAAAUUUGCUUCAAAUUUUAAGCUGGAAAGUCACUGGAAUAACUUUAAAAAAUAAUUACAAUACAUGGCUUUUUAGAAUUUCGUUACCUAUGUUAAGAAUUGUGUACAAAUUGAAAUGUCUGUACUGAUCCUCAACCAAUAAAAUCUCAAUUAUGAAAAAAA